This 74-nucleotide transfer RNA is filed under the name Streptomyces phage BRock. RNAcentral describes it as "tRNA-Asp". It matches the Rfam family "tRNA". Rfam says of the family: Transfer RNA (tRNA) molecules are approximately 80 nucleotides in length. Their secondary structure includes four short double-helical elements and three loops (D, anti-codon, and T loops). Further hydrogen bonds mediate the characteristic L-shaped molecular structure. tRNAs have two regions of fundamental functional importance: the anti-codon, which is responsible for specific mRNA codon recognition, and the 3' end, to which the tRNAs corresponding amino acid is attached (by aminoacyl-tRNA synthetases). tRNAs cope with the degeneracy of the genetic code in two manners: having more than one tRNA (with a specific anti-codon) for a particular amino acid; and 'wobble' base-pairing, i.e. permitting non-standard base-pairing at the 3rd anti-codon position. Lineage: Duplodnaviria; Heunggongvirae; Uroviricota; Caudoviricetes. The record is from RNAcentral.
GGACCUGUAGUGUAUGGGAGUAGCACGGUACCCUGUCAAGGUGCAAGGGCGGGUUCGAAUCCCGUCAGGUCCGC